Molecule: ribosomal RNA, 827 nt
Filed under: Alistipes sp. Z76
Lineage: Bacteria; Pseudomonadati; Bacteroidota; Bacteroidia; Bacteroidales; Rikenellaceae
Description: partial 23S ribosomal RNA
Rfam family: Bacterial large subunit ribosomal RNA
Source: RNAcentral
GACAGAGGCGGCACCUGAGUAAGCCGGGACACGAGGAAUCCUGGCCGAAUCCGCGGGGACCAUCCCGCAAGGCUAAAUACUACCGAGAGACCGAUAGCGAACCAGUACCGUGAGGGAAAGGUGAAAAGAACCUCGAACAGAGGAGUGAAACAGACCCUGAAAUCAUGUGCCUACAAGCGGUCGGAGCCCUUUCGUGGGGUGACGGCGUGCCUUUUGCAUAAUGAACCUACGAGUUGCCGGCGGCGGCGAGGCUAAGGGGCUCAGCCCCGGAGCCGGAGCGAAAGCGAGUCCGAAGAGGGCGUGCACAGUCACCGUCGGCAGACGCGAAACCAAGUGAUCUACCCUUGGGCAGGAUGAAGGUGAGGUAACACUCACUGGAGGUCCGAACCGGUAAGCGUUGAAAAGCUUUCGGAUGACCUGAGGGUAGGAGUGAAAGGCCAAUCAAACUUGGAGAUAGCUCGUACUCCCCGAAAUGCAUUUAGGUGCAGCCUCGGGCUCAGUACCGUGGAGGUAGAGCGACUGAUAGGAUGCGAGGGCUUCACCGCCUAUCAAGUCCUGACAAACUCCGAAUGCCACGGCACGGUCCCCGGGAGUGAGGGCGCGGGUGCUAAGGUCCGCGUCCGAGAGAGGAACAACUCAGACCACCGUCUAAGGCCCCGAAAUCCGGGCUAAGUUGAAGACAAUAACGAGGUGGGACCGCAAGGACAGCUAGGAUGUUGGCUUGGAAGCAGCCAUUCAUUUAAAGAGUGCGUAACAGCUCACUAGUCGAGUGGUCCCGCAUGGAUAAUAAUCGGGCAUAAGCCCGGUGCCGAAGGCGUGGACCUGCC